CACUUGUUGAGAACUCGUCACCUGAGUU
Molecule: small RNA, 28 nt
Filed under: Aspergillus fumigatus Af293
Lineage: Eukaryota; Fungi; Ascomycota; Eurotiomycetes; Eurotiales; Aspergillaceae
Description: Aspergillus fumigatus sRNA Afu1g09752
Source: RNAcentral